CGGGUGUACAAUGAGCAAAGUUCAGCAAAAGGACGGCGUUUUCUGAGAAAAAAAUGACAGGCUGUUGGUCCAGAGCAGCAUCUCUGCAGCUUAGGACCACCAGGCUGCCAUCCCGGCACUGUUCUGCUUGCAGACAGCGCUCCAUGUUGUGGCACUCAGAGGGCGUCCCUCUGCCGUGCAGCCCUCCCCAGUGCCUGCCUACCUGUCACUGCUCCAGAUGGGAUGGAGCUGUUUCCUUUGCAGUGCCUGCUAUCUUUUCACAUGCGUGCACCCCAUCCCUCUGCACAACCACGAGCAUGAAGACUCGAGCACUGCUCCAGCCUUGCACACUGCCAUGUGCAUGCACACAGAUGCAAAACUUUCACCUGCAAGCACUGUGCACACAGCCAAGCGCAAUGCAUGCUCUGAUGUUCAGCCCCACCUCUGCACAACCCCGUAUGAACGCAUACCUGCACUCACAGCUCGAGGACAAAAUGCUGCUGGCACGGCACAGCCAACACGCAGGCGGUGGGCAACAUCAGGAGGAAAGGCCCCCCUUUACGCUCAUUCAUUCUCCUCUCUUGAAUGAACGCAUUGGUGCACAGCUGGAGCCCCAUCCUGAGAUGUGGAUUGCUGCGGGGUUCUUCGUUGGUGGGCUAUGGGGAUCCUGGGAUGGUAAUGGGGGACCUGUCACGGACUGUUGGACUCUGAGAUCCCAGGAGAGGACUGAGGGGGUAAGGGAGGUGUGAGGAAGAAAACAAGGGGUUUCAGCGGGAGCUCAGAGGGGGAUGUGGGCUGCUGCUGGGGACUGCAGGAGCCUGUGAUGGCCCAGCUUGUCUGUGGGGGAGAUGUGCUGAGUCUGAGAAGGUCCUUGAGGAGCUAUAGGGCUCUCUGGGGGUGUGUUUGGUGGAUAUAGGGACAUUAAGGGAUGUGGGAACACAGGCUGCAGGAGCAGAAUGCUGUUCAGGAGAAGACAAGACGUGGGCUGCAGGUGGGACACAGGGGCAUGGGGUAGUAUGGGGACGUAGAGAGUAUGGGAGGAUGUGGGGAGCGGUUUGAGGUAAAAAGGGGGGGGGAGUGGACAGAGUUUGCAGUGGUUUCAUUUCAUCCUGAGAGGGGACUGGGCGUCCCUGUGGCCCAAAGGUGGGGCCCUGAGCCGUUACCCCACAUGAGCCAUAACCCAAGAUGACCUCAUCGCCCUGUAUGUGCGUGACCCCAUGGCUGCACGUGACCCACAGCCCUGAUGGGAACCAUACCCCCACAUGACCCUGUGACUCCCUGACUCUUCCUGCCCCCAUCAUGCUGCGAACUGACGCCAUGUGGCCCAUAAAUCUGGGAUCCUUGCC
RNAcentral lists this long non-coding RNA (1325 nucleotides) under Gallus gallus (chicken). Its description in RNAcentral is "lncRNA (ENSGALG00010028950.1)". Lineage: Eukaryota; Metazoa; Chordata; Aves; Galliformes; Phasianidae. The record is from RNAcentral.